RNAcentral lists this transfer RNA (73 nucleotides) under Infirmifilum lucidum. RNAcentral describes it as "Thermofilum sp. 3507LT tRNA-Val". It matches the Rfam family "tRNA". Rfam says of the family: Transfer RNA (tRNA) molecules are approximately 80 nucleotides in length. Their secondary structure includes four short double-helical elements and three loops (D, anti-codon, and T loops). The record is from RNAcentral. Lineage: Archaea; Thermoproteati; Thermoproteota; Thermoprotei; Thermofilales; Thermofilaceae.
GGGCCCGUCGUCUAGCGGCUAGGAUGCCACCCUGACACGGUGGAGGUCCCGGGUUCAAUUCCCGGCGGGCCCA